RNAcentral lists this ribosomal RNA (424 nucleotides) under uncultured prokaryote. RNAcentral describes it as "bacterial SSU rRNA". It matches the Rfam family "Bacterial small subunit ribosomal RNA", at positions 355 to 796 of the family's 1533-position model. The record is from RNAcentral.
UGGGGAAUCUUAGACAAUGGGGGAAACCCUGAUCUAGCCAUGCCGCGUGAGUGAUGAAGGCCCUAGGGUCGUAAAGCUCUUUCGCCAGGGAUGAUAAUGACAGUACCUGGUAAAGAAACCCCGGCUAACUCCGUGCCAGCAGCCGCGGUAAUACGGAGGGGGUUAGCGUUGUUCGGAAUUACUGGGCGUAAAGCGCGCGUAGGCGGACUAUUAAGUCAGGGGUGAAAUCCCGGGGCUCAAACACGGAACUGCCUUUGAUACUGGUAGUCUAGAGUUCGAGAGAGGUGAGUGGAAUUCCGAGUGUAGAGGUGAAAUUCGUAGAUAUUGGGAAGAACACCAGUGGCGAAGGCGGCACUCUGGCACGUUUCUGACGCUGAGGCGCGAAAGCGUGGGGAGCAAACAGGAUUAGAUACCCCUGUAGUCC